RNAcentral lists this ribosomal RNA (301 nucleotides) under uncultured bacterium. Its description in RNAcentral is "partial 16S ribosomal RNA". It matches the Rfam family "Bacterial small subunit ribosomal RNA", at positions 509 to 809 of the family's 1533-position model. The record is from RNAcentral.
CAGCAGCCACGGGAAUACAGAGGGUGCGAGCGUUAAUCGGAUUUACUGGGCGUAAAGCGCACGCAGGCGGUCUGUCAAGUCAGAUGUGAAAUCCCCGGGCUUAACCUGGGAACUGCAUUUGAAACUGGCAGGCUAGAGUCUUGUAGAGGGGGGUAGAAUUCCAGGUGUAGCGGUGAAAUGCGUAGAGAUCUGGAGGAAUACCGGUGGCGAAGGCGGCCCCCUGGACAAAGACUGACGCUCAGGUGCGAAAGCGUGGGGAGCAAACAGGAUUAGAUACCCCGGUAGUCCCUGUCUCUUAUAA